RNAcentral lists this ribosomal RNA (490 nucleotides) under uncultured bacterium. Its description in RNAcentral is "partial 16S ribosomal RNA". It matches the Rfam family "Bacterial small subunit ribosomal RNA", at positions 30 to 507 of the family's 1533-position model. The record is from RNAcentral.
AUUGAACGCUGGCGGCAGGCCUAACACAUGCAAGUCGAACGGUAACAGGAAACAGCUUGCUGUUUCGCUGACGAGUGGCGGACGGGUGAGUAAUGUCUGGGAAACUGCCUGAUGGAGGGGGAUAACUACUGGAAACGGUAGCUAAUACCGCAUAACGUCGCAAGACCAAAGAGGGGGACCUUCGGGCCUCUUGCCAUCGGAUGUGCCCAGAUGGGAUUAGCCAGUAGGUGGGGUAACGGCUCACCUAGGCGACGAUCCCUAGCUGGUCUGAGAGGAUGACCAGCCACACUGGAACUGAGACACGGUCCAGACUCCUACGGGAGGCAGCAGUGGGGAAUAUUGCACAAUGGGCGCAAGCCUGAUGCAGCCAUGCCGCGUGUAUGAAGAAGGCCUUCGGGUUGUAAAGUACUUUCAGCGGGGAGGAAGGGAGUAAAGUUAAUACCUUUGCUCAUUGACGUUACCCGCAGAAGAAGCACCGGCUAACUCCGUG